AGUGAACGCUGGCGGUAGGCCUAACACAUGCAAGUCGAACGGCAGCACAGUAAGAGCUUGCUCUUACGGGUGGCGAGUGGCGGACGGGUGAGGAAUACAUCGGAAUCUACUUUUUCGUGGGGGAUAACGUAGGGAAACUUACGCUAAUACCGCAUACGACCUACGGGUGAAAGCAGGGGAUCUUCGGACCUUGCGCGAUUGAAUGAGCCGAUGUCGGAUUAGCUAGUUGGCGGGGUAAAGGCCCACCAAGGCGACGAUCCGUAGCUGGUCUGAGAGGAUGAUCAGCCACACUGGAACUGGGACACGGUCCAGACUCCUAAGGGAGGCAGCAGUGGGGAAUAUUGGACAAUGGGCGCAAGCCUGAUACAGCCAUACCGAGUGGGUGAAGAAGGCCUUCGGGUUGUAAAGCCCUUUUGUUGGGAAAGAAAAGCAGCAGGUUAAUACCCCGCUGUUCUGACGGUACCCAAAGAAUAAGCACCGGCUAACUUCGUG
Molecule: ribosomal RNA, 492 nt
Filed under: uncultured bacterium
Lineage: Bacteria
Description: partial 16S ribosomal RNA
Rfam family: Bacterial small subunit ribosomal RNA
Source: RNAcentral